AGCUCUGUAAGCGUAUACCAAAGUUGUUGCAGUUAAAACGCUCGUAGUCGGAAGUUGGCGGGCGCCCAGGGGCGUCUUCACGGACGUGUUUUGGUUGGCCGCCUUUGUGGAGGGGGGCCCAGUGGUGCUUCACUGCGUCACUGUGGUCGCUGCCACCGUUUACUGUGAAAAAAUUAGAGUGUUCAAAGCGGGCGUUUGCCAUGAAUACAUUAGCAUGGAAUAAUAGAAUAGGACCUGUUUCCUGUUUUGUUGGUUUGUGAGGAUCGGGUAAUGAUUAAGAGGGACGGUUGGGGGCAUUUGUAUUCCGGCGUCAGAGGUGAAAUUCUUGGAUUGUCGGAAGACAAACAGCUGCGAAAGCGUCUGCCAAGGACGUUUUCAUUGAUCAAGAACGAAAGUACGC
Molecule: ribosomal RNA, 400 nt
Filed under: phytoplankton environmental sample
Lineage: Eukaryota
Description: partial small subunit ribosomal RNA
Rfam family: Eukaryotic small subunit ribosomal RNA
Source: RNAcentral